RNAcentral lists this transfer RNA (73 nucleotides) under Nanobdellota archaeon. RNAcentral describes it as "tRNA-Gln". It matches the Rfam family "tRNA". From Rfam's summary of the family: Transfer RNA (tRNA) molecules are approximately 80 nucleotides in length. Their secondary structure includes four short double-helical elements and three loops (D, anti-codon, and T loops). Further hydrogen bonds mediate the characteristic L-shaped molecular structure. tRNAs have two regions of fundamental functional importance: the anti-codon, which is responsible for specific mRNA codon recognition, and the 3' end, to which the tRNAs corresponding amino acid is attached (by aminoacyl-tRNA synthetases). tRNAs cope with the degeneracy of the genetic code in two manners: having more than one tRNA (with a specific anti-codon) for a particular amino acid; and 'wobble' base-pairing, i.e. permitting non-standard base-pairing at the 3rd anti-codon position. The record is from RNAcentral. Lineage: Archaea; Nanobdellati; Nanobdellota.
AGCCCCAUGGUCUAGUGGUCAAAGAUUCAUCCCUUUGGAGGAUGAGACCCAGGUUCGAAUCCUGGUGGGGCUA